AAAAGAUAGCCUUGUGAGCUCUCCGUCGGCUGAAUAUCUACCUCGGUUAACUGCUCCUUGGCUUGUUCGAUGCAAGAUUUCAAGUGUUUCUUCUCAGAAGUAUCAGAGACAAGUCUCUCAGCUUCCUCGAAAAGGCUCAGUCCCGCAACCCAAAAGCCAGUAGCUGUGUAUCUCGUCUUGAGAACCGUCGCCACACGAGACACAACUGUAUAGAACUGCAUAAAAAUAGCGUCAGAGAGGUAAACUACACAAACAUUCAUAUCAUUCGGUUAUAACAUAGAAACUCAACAAAACCAGUGUCCGUUUAAACUCAUGUCCAAAGAUCCUUGACAUGAAGAUGGAACCUUCAACACAAUUGGUAAUGGAAACAAAGAAAUAAAGAUGCUUGAUUCCUAAUUUAAUCCCCGAAGCAAAACUCAACCAUCGAACAUAUAUACAAGACAGCAUCAAUGUUAAUGUAUAUCUUGUCUUAAAACGAAACAAUGUUAUCGUGUCAGAAAGGUAACAACUUGACCAAACA
Molecule: long non-coding RNA, 520 nt
Organism: Brassica rapa (field mustard)
Lineage: Eukaryota; Viridiplantae; Streptophyta; Magnoliopsida; Brassicales; Brassicaceae
Source: RefSeq, a predicted model, not a curated record